UACGAAGGGGGCUAGCGUUGCUCGGAAUCACUGGGCGUAAAGCGCACGUAGGCGGACUCUUAAGUCGGUGGUGAAAUCCUGGAGCUCAACUCCAGAACUGCCUUCGAUACUGGGAGUCUCGAGUUCGGGAGAGGUGAGUGGAACUGCGAGUGUAGAGGUGAAAUUCGUAGAUAUUCGCAAGAACACCAGUGGCGAAGGCGGCUCACUGGCCCGAUACUGACGCUGAGGUGCGAAAGCGAGGGGAGCAAACAGG
Molecule: ribosomal RNA, 253 nt
Filed under: uncultured bacterium
Lineage: Bacteria
Description: partial 16S ribosomal RNA
Rfam family: Bacterial small subunit ribosomal RNA
Source: RNAcentral